This is a long non-coding RNA of Rosa chinensis, 289 nucleotides long. RefSeq lists it as uncharacterized. The transcript is spliced from 3 exons. NCBI's taxonomy places the organism in Eukaryota, Viridiplantae, Streptophyta, Magnoliopsida, Rosales, Rosaceae. The record is from RefSeq and is a predicted model, not a curated record.
CCUUAUGAACAGUAUACUUCCGCUUUUACUCCCGCUGCCUGACCCGGAUUUUACUCUAUUCACCUGCCACCUGUUGAUAUGCUGAGCUGACAGAUAGUAGAGUUGUUGCAUGCCCUUCUUUCUCCACGCAAAAGAGAGAGCUUAUUUGCCUCGCAAAAAGAGAGGGGGGAGAGAAUUGGGUCUGGUUCGUCGAGGAGAGACACAGUACAACUCACUUUGAUUUAAGAGGUAUUUUGAUUGAUUUCUCAGGUUUGAGCCUUCAUGCAGCUUUGAUGUUUUAAGAUUUGGG